GAUGAACGCUGGCGGCGUGCCUAAUACAUGCAAGUCGAGCGAACAGAUAAGGAGCUUGCUCCUUUGAAGUUAGCGGCGGACGGGUGAGUAACACGUGGGUAACCUACCUAUAAGACUGGGAUAACUUCGGGAAACCGGAGCUAAUACCGGAUAACAUUUAGAACCGCAUGGCUCUAAAGUGAAAGAUGGUUUUGCUAUCACUUAUAGAUGGACCCGCGCCGUAUUAGCUAGUUGGUAAGGUAACGGCUUACCAAGGCGACGAUACGUAGCCGACCUGAGAGGGUGAUCGGCCACACUGGAACUGAGACACGGUCCAGACUCCUACGGGAGGCAGCAGUAGGGAAUCUUCCGCAAUGGGCGAAAGCCUGACGGAGCAACGCCGCGUGAGUGAUGAAGGGUUUCGGCUCGUAAAACUCUGUUAUUAGGGAAGAACAAAUGUGUAAGUAACUGUGCACAUCUUGACGGUACCUAAUCAGAAAGCCACGGCUAACUACGUGCCAGCAGCCGCGGUAAUACGUAGGUGGCAAGCGUUAUCCGGAAUUAUUGGGCGUAAAGCGCGCGUAGGCGGUUUCUUAAGUCUGAUGUGAAAGCCCACGGCUCAACCGUGGAGGGUCAUUGGAAACUGGGAAACUUGAGUGCAGAAGAGGAAAGUGGAAUUCCAUGUGUAGCGGUGAAAUGCGCAGAGAUAUGGAGGAACACCAGUGGCGAAGGCGACUUUCUGGUCUGUAACUGACGCUGAUGUGCGAAAGCGUGGGGAUCAAACAGGAUUAGAUACCCUGGUAGUCCACGCCGUAAACGAUGAGUGCUAAGUGUUAGGGGGUUUCCGCCCCUUAGUGCUGCAGCUAACGCAUUAAGCACUCCGCCUGGGGAGUACGACCGCAAGGUUGAAACUCAAAGGAAUUGACGGGGACCCGCACAAGUGGUGGAGCAUGUGGUUUAAUUCGAAGCAACGCGAAGAACCUUACCAAAUCUUGACAUCCUUUGAAAACUCUAAAGAUAGAGCCUUCCCCUUCGGGGGACAAAGUGACAGGUGGUGCAUGGUUGUCGUCAGCUCGUGUCGUGAGAUGUUGGGUUAAGUCCCGCAACGAGCGCAACCCUUAAGCUUAGUUGCCAUCAUUAAGUUGGGCACUCUAGGUUGACUGCCGGUGACAAACCGGAGGAAGGUGGGGAUGACGUCAAAUCAUCAUGCCCCUUAUGAUUUGGGCUACGCACGUGCUACAAUGGACAAUACAAAGGGCAGCUAAACCGCGAGGUCAUGCAAAUCCCAUAAAGUUGUUCUCAGUUCGGAUUGUAGUCUGCAACUCGACUACAUGAAGCUGGAAUCGCUAGUAAUCGUAGAUCAGCAUGCUACGGUGAAUACGUUCCCGGGUCU
This 1372-nucleotide ribosomal RNA is filed under the name uncultured bacterium. Its description in RNAcentral is "bacterial SSU rRNA". It matches the Rfam family "Bacterial small subunit ribosomal RNA", at positions 28 to 1381 of the family's 1533-position model. The record is from RNAcentral.